RNAcentral lists this long non-coding RNA (1410 nucleotides) under Homo sapiens (human). RNAcentral describes it as "HSALNT0170360". Lineage: Eukaryota; Metazoa; Chordata; Mammalia; Primates; Hominidae. The record is from RNAcentral.
AGCAGGCCUGCCGAAUGCAGCCUGCCGUAUUUUCUGGAGCAGGUCUGCCGAAUUCAGCCUGUCGAAUGUAGCCUGCUGUGUUUUCUGGAGCAGGUCUGCCGAAUGCAGCCUGCCGUGUUUUCUGGAGCAGGUCUGCUGAAUGCAGCCUGCCGUAUUUAAGGCAAGUGUUAGUGGAACACAGUCAGGCCCAUGUGUGCACAUACUGUCUCUGGCUGCUUCUGCACCAUCUGGGUAGAGGUGAGUGGUUGUGAAAAGGCCGCAUGAGCUAUAGAGGCAAAAAUGUUUGCAAUCUGGCCCUGGAGAGAAAGUGUCUGCUGAGUCUGCUCUAGAGGAGAGCCAGCACGGGCCUGAGGAGCGUGACACAGCGAUGUGGCAGCUCCAACACAGUGGUAGUGAACCAGACGCCACACAUAUGCCAACCAGAGGCGAAGGGCAACAGUAAGCCACAGGGCCAUGCAGGGACCACCACGAAGCCGCUGAGAUAAAUGAGCCAGCACAGACAACCGCACAGUGCUGCACAAGUGAAGCAGGCUGCACAGGUGCCCAGAGUGAGGUGCUGCUUACGUACGUACAGAACAAGUCUGUUACAGAAGUGGAGAAACAUGCUUGGGAAGACAUAUGCCAUCUUCAAAAUCAUGAGCAACUCUGGGAAGCUAGAGGGAGAGUGAAAAAGACCAGGAGGAAAGUAGCAGGCUGAAAUGGGGAGGGGACAACAGGAGCUUCAUCUGUAUCCCGAGCAUUCUCCUUCCUUUGAUGAAGGGAUAACCUCUGGGUGGUGGGUUUGCAGGUACAUCUAUAUUAACCUCUGAAUCUUCUGUAUGCCCUAAGUGAAAUUUUCUAUUAAGUAUUAAAUAUUUCAUAAUUCAAAAUCAAGGACGCCAGUACUUUCAUUCUUGCUCUAUAACCAAUAUCUAAUAUCUUAGGUGUUUAACACUUUAGUACAUAUGCUAAAGGAAUGGAACUAAACGAACUUUCAAGUCUAAACAGAUGUUCCUUGAUAUUUCCAAUCUGAUCAAGUAUCAGGAGAAGACAUCCCAAGAAGCUACCCACACCCGCACUGCUGCAGAGUCCAAUGUGCAGGGCAUUCCUUCCACCGAAGCCUCCACGGGCAGAAGCUGAGCGCCUCGCCUGCCCCGCGUCGCUGCACUGAGUCUGACGUGCAGGGCAUUCCUUCCACCGAAGCCUCCACGGGCAGGAGCUGAGUGCCUCGCCUGCCCCUGUCCGCCGCACUGAGUCUGACAGGCAGGGCAUUCCUGCAUUCCUUCAACCGAAGCCUCCACGGGCAGGAGCUGAGCGCCUUGCUGCUGACUGCCCCGCGUGUGCUGCACGGGGCAGAUGUUGAAACUGUUCUCCUUUGACCCUCUCCUACCACUCUACAAAAAAGCACAGCCCCUCAACAGACAGUUCUAU